Small nucleolar RNA from Manis pentadactyla (Chinese pangolin), 71 nucleotides. RefSeq annotates it as small nucleolar RNA SNORD59. NCBI's taxonomy places the organism in Eukaryota, Metazoa, Chordata, Mammalia, Pholidota, Manidae. The transcript has a single exon. The record is from RefSeq and is a predicted model, not a curated record.
CCUCGCUGAUGAGUAGCUUCUGACUUAAGUUCUUCUGAGAUUGCUGAAGCCAGAUGCCAUUCCUGAGAAGG